GACGAACGCUGGCGGCGUGCUUAACACAUGCAAGUCGAACGGAAAGGCCCUGCUUGCAGGGUACUCGAGUGGCGAACGGGUGAGUAACACGUGGGUGAUCUGCCCUGCACUUCGGGAUAAGCCUGGGAAACUGGGUCUAAUACCGGAUAGGAGCCAUUUUUAGUGUGAUGGUUGGAAAGUUUUUUCGGUGUAGGAUGAGCUCGCGGCCUAUCAGCUUGUUGGUGGGGUAAUGGCCUACCAAGGCGGCGACGGGUAGCCGGCCUGGGAGGGUGGACGGCCACAUUGGGACUGAGAUACGGCCCAGAAUCCUAAGGGAGGCAGCAGGGGGGAAUAUUGCACAAUGGGCGCAAGCCUGAUGCAGCGACGCCGCGUGGGGGAUGACGGCCUUCGGGUUGUAAACUCCUUUCGCGAGGGACGAAGCUUUUUGUGACGGUACCUAGAUAAGAAGCACCGGCUAACUACGUG
RNAcentral lists this ribosomal RNA (465 nucleotides) under uncultured bacterium. Its description in RNAcentral is "partial 16S ribosomal RNA". It matches the Rfam family "Bacterial small subunit ribosomal RNA", at positions 28 to 507 of the family's 1533-position model. The record is from RNAcentral.